GAUUUCACCGACACCAAUCUCGUCGGACCUUUACAUAAAAUCAGUGAUGAAGGUCGUAGUUGAGGUUUGGAGGUCGAGCAUAAGGCUGGUAAUGACGAACUCACCUCGGCUCAACGACAAUGGAAACAUGGGUUUGUGGGUUCAUGCGUUCGACUUUCAUGUUGUCUCUUACCUAGUGUUAAAAUUAGGAAGUUAUAAGAAAACUUGUUUUUUUCUUGUCUUUUGAGUAUAAUCGGCUAAUCUAUACAACAUUUGUAAGUUUUUGAGGUAAAAUCGUAAAGAAAUGGAG
This 289-nucleotide long non-coding RNA is filed under the name Brassica napus (rape). RNAcentral describes it as "long non-coding RNA (BNAP_LNC012983)". The record is from RNAcentral. Lineage: Eukaryota; Viridiplantae; Streptophyta; Magnoliopsida; Brassicales; Brassicaceae.